Molecule: ribosomal RNA, 253 nt
Filed under: uncultured bacterium
Lineage: Bacteria
Description: partial 16S ribosomal RNA
Rfam family: Bacterial small subunit ribosomal RNA
Source: RNAcentral
UACGGAGGAGGCAAGCGUUAUCCGGAAUUAUUGGGCGUAAAGCGUCCGCAGGUGGCACUUCAAGUCUGUCGUCAAAGACUGGGGCUUAACCCUGGAAAGGCGGUGGAAACUGUGAGGCUAGAGUGCGGUAGGGGUAAGGGGAAUUCCCAGUGUAGCGGUGAAAUGCGUAGAUAUCAAGAGGAACACCUGAGGUGAAGACGGGUUGCUGGGCUGACACUGACGCUGAGGCGCGAAAGCUAGGGUAGCAAACGGG